RNAcentral lists this unclassified non-coding RNA (209 nucleotides) under fungal sp. Its description in RNAcentral is "partial internal transcribed spacer region". The stretch from base 1 to 46 matches the Rfam family "Eukaryotic small subunit ribosomal RNA", at positions 1786 to 1831 of the family's 1831-position model. The record is from RNAcentral. Lineage: Eukaryota; Fungi.
AAGUCGUAACAAGGUUUCCGUAGGUGAACCUGCGGAAGGAUCAUUCAAAAUGGUAUCCAGUAAUGGAUUUACUCCAAUCUUUGUGCAUUGAAAUCGGCAUCUGUCAAAGGAUGUUGGUUUGAAAGUAACCUUCAAAAUAAUCAUUGUCUGAACAUAUCUUGAAUACUUAAUUCAAAAUACAACUUUCAACAACGGAUCUCUUGGCUCUC